This 799-nucleotide ribosomal RNA is filed under the name marine metagenome. Its description in RNAcentral is "bacterial SSU rRNA". It matches the Rfam family "Bacterial small subunit ribosomal RNA", at positions 708 to 1520 of the family's 1533-position model. The record is from RNAcentral.
CAAUUGCGAAGGCAGCUUUCUGGAUCAUUACUGACACUGAGGAACGAAAGCAUGGGUAGCGAAGAGGAUUAGAUACCCUCGUAGUCCAUGCCGUAAACGAUGUGUGUUAGACGUUGGAAAUUUAUUUUCAGUGUCGCAGCGAAAGCGAUAAACACACCGCCUGGGGAGUACGACCGCAAGGUUAAAACUCAAAUGAAUUGACGGGGACCCGCACAAGUAGUGGAGCAUGUGGUUUAAUUCGAAGAUACGCGCAGAACCUUACCAACACUUGACAUGUUCGUCGCGACUUUAAGAGAUUAAAGUUUUCGGUUCGGCCGGACGAAACACAGGUGCUGCAUGGCUGUCGUCAGCUCGUGUCGUGAGAUGUUGGGUUAAGUCCCGCAACGAGCGCAACCCUCACUUUUAGUUGCCAUCAUUAAGUUGGGCACUCUGAAAGAACUGCCAGUGAUAAGCUGGAGGAAGGUGGGGAUGACGUCAAGUCCUCAUGGCCCUUACGUGUUGGGCUACACACGUGCUACAAUGGUAUCUACAACAGGAAGCAAAACGGCGACGUUAAGCAAAUCCUUAAAAGAUACCUCAGUUCGGAUUGUACUCUGCAACUCGAGUACAUGAAGCUGGAAUUACUAGUAAUCGUGGAUCAGCGUGCCACGGUGAAUGCGUUCCCGGGUCUUGUACACACCGCCCGUCACACCAUGGGAGUUGGUUCUACCUUAAGGCAAGGUUUAAAACCCUUGACCACGGUAUAGUCAGCGACUGGGGUGAAGUCGUAACAAGGUAGCCGUAGGGGAACCUGCGGCUG